AGCAAUACAUGCUGACGAGCGGCAGACGGGUGAGGAACACGUACGCAACUUUCCUCAAACCGGGGCACAACCUUGAGAAAUCAGGGCUAAUUCCCCAUAACAUUGCAAGAGGGCAUCUGAUUGCAAUUAAAGAUUCGUCGGUUUGAGAUGGGCGUGCGUUCGAUUAGCUAGUUGGUAAGGUAACGGCUUACCAAGGCAACGAUCGAUAGCUGGUGUGAGAGCACGACCAGCCACACGGGCACUGAGAUACGGGCCCGACUCCUACGGGAGGCAGCAGUAAGGAAUAUUGGUCAAUGGACGAAAGUCUGAACCAGCCAUGCCGCGUGAGGGAUGAAGGUCCUCUGGAUUGUAAACCUCUUUUAUCUAUGAAGAAAUGUCCUGUUUCUACGGGAUUUGACGGUAAUAGAUGAAUAAGCACCGGCUAACUCCGUGCCAGCAGCCGCGGUAAUACGGAGGGUGCAAGCGUUAUCCGGAUUUACUGGGUUUAAAGGGUGCGUAGGUGGGUUGGUAAGUCAGUGGUGAAAUACUUUCGCUUAACGAAGGAACUGCCAUUGAUACUACCAGUCUUGAAUACAGUGGAGGUAGGCGGAAUGCGUCAUGUAGCGGUGAAAUGCUUAGAUAUGACGCAGAACACCAAUUGCGAAGGCAGCUUGCUACACUGUUAUUGACACUGAGGCACGAAAGC
RNAcentral lists this ribosomal RNA (685 nucleotides) under uncultured Bacteroidota bacterium. RNAcentral's name for it is "bacterial SSU rRNA". It matches the Rfam family "Bacterial small subunit ribosomal RNA", at positions 78 to 760 of the family's 1533-position model. Lineage: Bacteria; Pseudomonadati; Bacteroidota. The record is from RNAcentral.